UUCACCUGUGGAAGUCUAAAAUCAAUGAUUUUUAAAUGUUGUGUCAGUACAAAAAGAAAUAACCAGUAUAUUGCUAUUUCUUGGUUUUAGAGAAGGGGCUAUAUUUCCAUUUUCUACACUCCUAUUAUUAUCUGUGCAUAUUGGUGAAAGAAAUGUCACUAGGCCUGAUUCUUCCAAAGAGCCUUUGUUUUAAGGCACUAAAUGCAUGUUUGAAAUAACCCAAUAUUUACUUUUUAAAAGGUACAUUACCUUUCUACAUUAGAAGACAUAGUUCCUUCUAUAGUUAAUGAUUUUGGUAGUCAUCUUUCAGUAUCCUCGGAGGAUUGGUUACAGAACAUCUCAUGGAUAUCACAAUCUGAGCAUGCUCAAAUAUAUUACAUAAAGUGAUGUAGUCCUUGCAUAUCACAUGCACUUCCUCUUGUAUAUUUUAAAUCAUCUGUAGAUUACUUAUAAUAACCUAAUACAGUGUAAAUGCUACAUAAACAUUUGUUAUUGAUAAGAAAAACAAUCUACAUGUUCUGUAGAUUAUAGGCGUAUUUUUUAUCCCCCUAAUAAUGUCACUCACUGUUGGUUGAAUCCACAGAUAUGAAACCAAUGGAUUUGAAGGGCCAACCAUAUUGUUUUUAUUUGCUGCAUGAGAAUAUUGUGAUUGUAUAAUCAGAGGCAACAUUUAAAAUAUUUCAUCUCAAUGUCAGCUUCACAGAUCCCUGAAAACAAGAACAUCUAGAAGACUGUUUUAAAUCAAAAUGCCACAUGUUUAAGUCAACUUACAAAUUUUAUUGGCUAAUAGACAACUGCCACACAUUCUUCUUACCACCAUCCUACUAUUCCUGAAUUUAAUUUGCAAAGGGAAGCAGAGACCAAAGAGGAUUUCUUAGGUACUCAAUAAAAUUUGAAGAAGUGGGAAAAAAAAUAUACUUACAGUUACUGAAAAUAAAACUUGCCUCAGUUAAGAGAA
Molecule: non-coding RNA, 958 nt
Organism: Marmota flaviventris (yellow-bellied marmot)
Lineage: Eukaryota; Metazoa; Chordata; Mammalia; Rodentia; Sciuridae
Source: RefSeq, a predicted model, not a curated record